UUGGGCUGAUUUGACAGGAGAAGUCUCUCCCAAUGCUAAGCUACGGAGGCUGGGAUUUAAGCCUCCAUAAGGAGCCUCUUGACCAACUCUGUUUCUCAUGUUUCACCUGCCUGAGUCGGGGCAGGAGCCUUCUGCAUGACGCAGCCUCAUUGGCAGAACAACCAUCUCAGCCUGCUCUGUCCAAAUUGAAGAGCAAGAAAUGCCAGUCAAUUUACCAGCUACAUUCAGAUUGCCUGAGAAUCCUGACUUUAUCAUUCACAGUAUGACCUUGGAUGAAUCAGAGGAGUUAAGAGGAAGCAAGAAGCAGAGUAAAACAGAUGCUCAGAGAAAAUCAGAGAGAGAGAGAGAGAGGAAGAGAGAGAGAGAGAUCAAGAACAAGCACAAACUUGUAGCCUCUGUGAAAGGUUGUCCAGGUUCCUGGCCACUUUCCACCUUCCAGUUCCAGUCCCCAGGAGUCCUGGCUGUACUUUGGCUUCUGUCCUUUGAUUUCAGUA
This is a long non-coding RNA of Canis lupus familiaris (dog), 494 nucleotides long. RefSeq lists it as uncharacterized. Lineage: Eukaryota; Metazoa; Chordata; Mammalia; Carnivora; Canidae. The record is from RefSeq and is a predicted model, not a curated record. The transcript is spliced from 3 exons.